AUGCCCACCCCGCCUCAUAUUGUGCCAGAAUGGUAUUUCCUACCGAUCCAUGCCAUUCUUCGUAGUAUACCUGACAAAGCGGGAGGUGUAGCCGCAAUAGCACCAGUUUUUAUAUCUCUCUUGGCUUUACCUUUUUUUAAAGAAAUGUAUGUGCGUAGUUCAAGUUUUCGACUGAUUCACCAAGGAAUAUUUUGGUUGCUUUUGGCGGAUUGCUUACUACUAGGUUGGAUCAGAUGUCAACCUGUGGAGGCACCAUUUGUUACUAUUGGACAAAUUCCUUCUGUCUUUUUCUUCUUGUUCUUUGCCAUAACGCCCAUUCUGGGACGAGUUGGAAGAGGAAUUCCAAAAUAUUACAUGGAUGAGACUCAUCGCACCGGAUUCUUAGACGGAUGA
Molecule: ribosomal RNA, 393 nt
Filed under: Triticum aestivum (bread wheat)
Lineage: Eukaryota; Viridiplantae; Streptophyta; Magnoliopsida; Poales; Poaceae
Description: partial small subunit ribosomal RNA
Source: RNAcentral